CCAGCUCCAAUAGCGUAUAUUAAAGUUGUUGCAGUUAAAAAGCUCGUAGUUGAAUUUCUGGCCAGUCUUAUGCUGCGCUAUAUGCCGGUAUAAUGGUUUGGUCAUCCGUAGGGGAAACUAGUUCGGUCUUCACUGGUCGGCUAGCGGAACCUACAAUUUACUGUGAAAAAAUUAGAGUGUUUCAGGCAGGCAAUCGCUUGGAUACUCCAGCAUGGAAUAAUGGAAUAGGACUUUGGUCUAUUUGUUGGUUUGAGAUCAAAGUAAUGAUUAAUAGGGACAGUUGGGGGCAUUCGUAUUUAAUUGUUAGAGGUGAAAUUCUUGGAUUUAUUAAAGACGAACUUAUGCGAAAGCAUUUGCCAAGGAUGUUUUCA
RNAcentral lists this ribosomal RNA (371 nucleotides) under uncultured Cyrtolophosis. RNAcentral's name for it is "SSU rRNA". It matches the Rfam family "Eukaryotic small subunit ribosomal RNA", at positions 585 to 972 of the family's 1831-position model. Lineage: Eukaryota; Ciliophora; Colpodea; Cyrtolophosidida; Cyrtolophosididae. The record is from RNAcentral.